GUGGGGAAUAUUGGACAAUGGGGGGAACCCUGAUCCAGCCAUGCCGCGUGUGUGAAGAAGGCCUUUUGGUUGUAAAGCACUUUAAGCGAGGAGGAGGCUACCGAGAUUAAUACUCUUGGAUAGUGGACGUUACUCGCAGAAUAAGCACCGGCUAACUCUGUGCCAGCAGCCGCGGUAAUACAGAGGGUGCAAGCGUUAAUCGGAUUUACUGGGCGUAAAGCGCGCGUAGGUGGCCAAUUAAGUCAAAUGUGAAAUCCCCGAGCUUAACUUGGGAAUUGCAUUCGAUACUGGUUGGCUAGAGUAUGGGAGAGGAUGGUAGAAUUCCAGGUGUAGCGGUGAAAUGCGUAGAGAUCUGGAGGAAUACCGAUGGCGAAGGCAGCCAUCUGGCCUAAUACUGACACUGAGGUGCGAAAGCAUGGGGAGCAAACAGGAUUAGAUACCUGGUAGUCC
Molecule: ribosomal RNA, 450 nt
Filed under: uncultured bacterium
Lineage: Bacteria
Description: partial 16S ribosomal RNA
Rfam family: Bacterial small subunit ribosomal RNA
Source: RNAcentral